CCCAAGGCACUUUUCAGAGCCACUCACCAAUAAAUAAAUAAAUAAAU
This is a non-coding RNA of Neotoma lepida (desert woodrat), 47 nucleotides long. The record is from Rfam. Lineage: Eukaryota; Metazoa; Chordata; Mammalia; Rodentia; Cricetidae.